This 242-nucleotide long non-coding RNA is filed under the name Hordeum vulgare. RNAcentral's name for it is "long non-coding RNA (HVUL_LNC015976)". The record is from RNAcentral. Lineage: Eukaryota; Viridiplantae; Streptophyta; Magnoliopsida; Poales; Poaceae.
GCACACUGCAGAGGAUUCUGUAAACAGACCUUGGUGUAUAUUUGAGCUCGUGGACGAGGAAAGUUUUUCUCGGUGAUUGUCCUUCAGUCAAAGGCUUCAUGAGGACUUCCAUCAUCCCGUUGGGCAGCUCACGCUCACCGUAAAGCUUCACAGCCUCCUCUGAGGGAAUUGAUAUAGGCAGUUCACGGAGGAGCUCAGUAGCAGGAGCCUUGUAGUGAGUGUUUUGUGUCAUCCAGUCAAAC